RNAcentral lists this unclassified non-coding RNA (261 nucleotides) under Hevea brasiliensis (rubber tree). Lineage: Eukaryota; Viridiplantae; Streptophyta; Magnoliopsida; Malpighiales; Euphorbiaceae. The record is from RNAcentral.
UGACCAACCCACUGAGCCAUGGAAGAUGAACCUUGAAGAGAUGUAGAUGGGGACUGAACUUUGAGUGAUGAGUCUAGUACAAUGGUCCGUGGCGGCCGAGAAACCCUUGCCUUUAACAUUGUAUUAGGACUGCUUGCUAAAUUAUCCUCAUGAAUAUUUGGCUUAUUGCUUCCUUUUGUCACAACUUUCUGCUCUAAAAGGACCAAAUGACCUCUCGGAAGAGUACCAGUAUCCAUUUCAUUCCCGAGUACUGUACAGGCA